GAUCGAAAUGAUCUUAGCAAGAAAAAUUCACUCACUGUUGUAAAACCUGAGUCUCUUCCAAACGCACAAAGCAAUGCACAAGGAGGAGGAGAAGGAGACCCAGAUGUCCAAGAUGCUCAAGUUCAAGACUUGAGGGUCCCGGAGCAUUUGUUGGUACCUCCUCAAGGGCCAUGGAGGGUACCAACAUUUAUGCCGAACCCUCUCAGCCCUCAAAUAUGGUCGGUCUACUCCUUUACUAUCAGUUGAAUAUUCAGAUUUUUUGGUUGAAACGGACUCCCUCCUUUCUGUCAAUUGGUUUAGAAACUCUUCUCAAUCUACUUGGGUGUACUUUGAGCUAUGGAAUGAUGUUCUGGACAUUGCUUCUUAUCUACCUUUUGACAUUAGUCACACUUACAGAGAGGAAAUCUCACUAGCUGACGGCUCAGCAAACCUUGAUAACUCCUUCCCCUCAGUUUUGCACUUAGACUUUUCAUUGCUUUUACAGAGUCAAUAAAUAGAAUAGCAAUGAAAAAAGGACUCAAACUGACCAGCUCUGAUUUGGAG
This is a long non-coding RNA of Juglans regia (Persian walnut), 543 nucleotides long. RefSeq lists it as uncharacterized. Lineage: Eukaryota; Viridiplantae; Streptophyta; Magnoliopsida; Fagales; Juglandaceae. The record is from RefSeq and is a predicted model, not a curated record. The transcript has 3 exons.